Molecule: long non-coding RNA, 698 nt
Filed under: Carica papaya (papaya)
Lineage: Eukaryota; Viridiplantae; Streptophyta; Magnoliopsida; Brassicales; Caricaceae
Description: long non-coding RNA (CPAP_LNC010832)
Source: RNAcentral
GAGAGAAGAGCAAUCGGGAAGGGAAGGAAGAAGAGAGGGUCACGCGGGGAAGCCGAUAGGAAGAAAUAAGGAGAGGGAAGGAAGAGGAAGGGAAAAGAGAGAAAAAGGAGGAAGGAGAAGAAAAGAGAGGAGGGGCCGAGCGUGAAAGAGAAGGGGAGCCAAAGAGCGACCACCACGAGGGAGGAAGAAAAGAAGAGAGGGGCGGAGGUGGGAGAGUGUGGAAGCCGAACCGAAAGGAAGAAGGAGGAGAAGAGAACGGCCGAGAUGUCGUGUGAUGGCAGAGACCGAGGCAAGCGAGAUAAAGGUUUGUCCUUUUUGUCUUUUCUUCCCUUAUUUUCCUUUUAAUCUAUUUCUAUUUUGCACUAACUGACUUUUUAAGUGUAAAAAAUCAUCAUUCUAAUUGCAAGUACGUAAGGAAGCCGCGGGGUGACUGAGAGGAGGUGACCGGGAGCCAAGCCGAUGCCAAAAUGUCCACGUCGAAAGGUAAAAUCAUUUUAUUUUCGUGUUUUGGUGGUGGUUGAGCGGUGGUGGGGCGAGGCUGGUGUCGGGCUGGCCGUGCGGACUCGGCCAAGCCACCCACCAGCGUAGGAACCGAGGAAGCCUUCUUCUAGAAUGGAGAAAGCUGACCCAUUUGGGAAGCCGAAGAGUCUUCCCCGAUCAUGGGAACCUGACCCACUAGUUUGGAGUUCUGAUUCGCU